GACGUGUAGACCAACACAAAGUAGUGACACGUAUCCUGGCAUGGAUCAGAGAUCAACCACAGUAUUUAAAAGCUGCUAAUAUAAGCACAGACAUGCUGCCCAGCCUCUCUAAGGAGGAUUUACGUGAUCUCUUUCCCAGGCCAGAGCACUUCUUCAGAAGGAGAACCAUUUGGAGACUUACUCAUAGUGAAAAUUAGGUGUGGUGUUCUUUGUAUGCUAUGUGAAGAUGAAGAGGAUUUCCUUGCCAAUCUAUGAUUCAUCAUAUUUACAGUACGUAUGC
This is a long non-coding RNA of Salvelinus fontinalis (brook trout), 280 nucleotides long. RefSeq lists it as uncharacterized. The transcript is spliced from 3 exons. Lineage: Eukaryota; Metazoa; Chordata; Actinopteri; Salmoniformes; Salmonidae. The record is from RefSeq and is a predicted model, not a curated record.